Lyngbya sp. PCC 8106 is the source of this 79-nucleotide non-coding RNA. The record is from Rfam. Lineage: Bacteria; Bacillati; Cyanobacteriota; Cyanophyceae; Oscillatoriales; Microcoleaceae.
AGGAGCCGUGUGCUGUGAAAGUAGCAAGCACGGUUCUGAAUGGGAGUCGGAGGUUGUAAAACCUCCUUCGACCCCUAAU